This 447-nucleotide long non-coding RNA is filed under the name Monodelphis domestica (gray short-tailed opossum). RNAcentral describes it as "lncRNA (ENSMODG00000048149.1)". The record is from RNAcentral. Lineage: Eukaryota; Metazoa; Chordata; Mammalia; Didelphimorphia; Didelphidae.
CUUAUCUCUUUAAGGUAUUAAGUCUACCUUGGGGUGGUAAAGUUUUGUACUCAACUUUACACUACAUUUCUUUAUAAUAUGGUGAUCAGACCAGUGAAUUUGUGUAUCCAAUAGAUGGAAGAAGAUCUGGAUUGACCCAUGAUACCGUGUCACACCAAACUUGUCUGAAUCUUAGUUUCUAAAUGGGAAUAAUGAUGUUUAUGGUGCCUACCUCACAGGGUAAAGGAUAAAGGUUGCAUAGGCUCUCCUGGCUCCUGUGCUGUCUAUGCUCAUUACAAGAGGGGUGACCAUCAAUUCAUGAAGACUAUGGAUAAAGGGAUAGUGGUCUGUAUCACCCCCAAAAGGGUAUCCACAUGGAGGAAAUAAUGGGUCAUAGAAGUAAAAAAAACCCAAACAUUUCAGCCUAGAGUGCUAUGGUCUUAAUAAUGAGCAGUUGAAGUCUACAUC